RNAcentral lists this long non-coding RNA (3425 nucleotides) under Zostera marina. Its description in RNAcentral is "long non-coding RNA (ZMAR_LNC000713)". Lineage: Eukaryota; Viridiplantae; Streptophyta; Magnoliopsida; Alismatales; Zosteraceae. The record is from RNAcentral.
AUAUUUAUUCUUGUAGGCCGGAGAUUCAGAUAACCAAAUUCGCUAUCCUUUUACUUAUUCUCUGCAAACCUAACGACGUUAAAGUUUGAUUUUACAAUCACAUUUUUUUCUCUAUUUUUUUAAUUUUUUGCAGGACAUGCUCAUUUCUUUUGAUGGUGAUCUUACAUGUUCAAGAGGAGAAGAUCGAAUUUCAAGAUUUGUACGUACCUGUUGAUCUAAUUAAACCCUCAAAUUUCAUUGUCCUCGAAGAAACUAGAAAUGCAGAAUCUAGAAGAUUGUAUUUUGAUCUCGAUUCAUUAUUUUAACGUGUAUGUAGGGUAGACAAUCUCGACCUUUGCCAUGUUGGGUGCGCUCGCAUGGCAGGUCACCUAAUAAAGAAGAAUCACUUUUUUUGGGUUGGGAGAGGAGAUCGCAUGGGAAUUGGGAUGAUAUAUUAAUUUCCCCCCAUUUUGAUAGUCCCAGGAUCAUCCUCUCCAAGAUCGGGCUUUGUGUUCUGAUCUUUUCUCCAUGGAUUGUUAUUCUUUCAUUAUCCAUUAUCCUUCCUCCCAUGCAACUUCACUCACCGACAUAAUCGAUUAAAGAUAAUAACCUGAACUCUAACCCUAACCCAUAUCCUACAAACGAGAUAUACAUUGAAUUUAAACUAAUUACGAUCUAUGAGUAAUCCGAUCCCACAAAAUGAAACGAAUGAGUUGCUAAUCUUCAAUUGAUCACCAUUCAAAUCGUCAAUCAAGGUAUAGCGCUCAUAUGCUUUCCAUUUCGCUUCGUAUAUAUAUAUAUACAUUUCGCUUCAUAUAUAUACAUUUCGCUUCGUAUAUAUAUAUAUAGCUUCAUUUUUUAUAAUUCAAAAAAUAAUAUUGUGAGAUUUAUAUUUAAAGAUAAUUGUGUUACUCCAGAAGAAUAUUUAUUUAUUUAAUUAUUAGAAUUGUCUCUAGAUGAAUAAUUACUGUUUUUUUUGGGAGAAAUGGAGAUAUUGUAUAUCACACACACACAUAUAUAUAGGGUCAGAUUCAGAUGAGAUAAGGGUUCAUGAGAUAUUAUGUGAUCAUGACCCCUCAAGUAAAAAUUUCGAUUUACCGUUUGAUGAAAAUCCGAAGGCUGAUAUGACAAAAUCUCAUGGACUAUUGUCUCAUCGAUCUAAUUUUUAUCCCAUGCAUAUUUGAUGGAUGAUAUUGCUCGCGAUCGGGAAACAAAACUCUGGGGUGAUAAUAAAGAGGCCGCGGGUAUGUUGCAUUCGAAGGUGCAGAAGAAAAUAAAUACUAUGGACUUCUGACUUAGGUAUAUACUUAUCUCAAAACAAUGUGAUUGAAAAAUUGACAAAGGAAUGCAAAAUAGAACAUUUAAUUUAAAAUAUCUUAAUUAACAUUAUUUUUGUAGAAUGAAGAAGUUGGUAAUCGAUAAAGUUUGAUUAUUGCGAUGUUUGCAAGGCUACCCAUAGUUCGACUAUAUAAUUGAAGGCCGUUGGUAUUGAAAUCAACGAUCCCAUACAUUUCUUGUACUUGGAGCAAGAGAUUGUACAUUAAUCAAUCCCAAAUUAUUGAAACUCUAAAGUGGCGACUUUGCCUAACCCCAAGAGAUCGACGAUGAGUAAUGUAAAAUUAGCCACGGAUUUAAUCAAAGGGCUUUGAAAAUUGGUUCUGAACACAAGUCUUAUUUCUUGUUGUGAUGGCAAGAAAUAUAUAAGAAAAAUUAGGGUUUUCAAAAAUUAUUAUUUAUUUACUUUGAAAAAAAUCAUAUACUUGAUAAGUGCUUUUUAUAUUCUUUUUUUGUUUAUAAACAAAAAUUCUAACUUAUUUUCUUUGCAUCCAUUUUGUAUUGAAAAUCACUACAAAAAAUAAGAUACUGUGAAACAGAUUACUGACGAAUUAAAGAUGAUCGAUGGUAGAAAUCUCUUGUAUUCAGGACUAUCACCAAAAUACGAGUUCUAUCACUAAUAGACCGUCGACAAAAGAGACUCCAUGAUUCUCACCUAAAAAGCAGAUUUGAAUUUCGUGGUCAAAAUCCACCACUGAUGAUAUUUUUUCAACGAGUAGUAAAAAAAUUCCGAAAUUUUUAUACAUUAAAAAUUUAAUUUAUAAAUUAAUAAUAGAAGAUAAUUUAAUUAUGAGUAUUUUGAGUUCUGAAUAUAACUUUUUUAUAUAUAUGGUUAAUUUCUAACCAUUUUCAAAAUAUUGUAUCACUAUAAGAAAGAAAGUUAUUUAAAAUAAGGAUUGGUUUUUAGUGAGAAUGGUUAUAAAAUAAUGGGUGAGAAUGUAAAUCUCAUCCAUCCAUUCUUAUGGGUAUAUAUGUAUACUUUUAUAUAUUUGAAAGUAUGAGAGACCAACCUCCUGAGACCACGUAUUUAGUUACUGUAUAACUAGACUACAUAGCUAAUGAAAGAGAGUCAAUGAGUUUCUUACUCGUUCUUUUUAAUAAAUUUAAUUGCUUUCAAAAAAAAACUUUUAUAUAUUUUAUUAUUAUUUGAUUUUACCGUUGGAUUAGAUUUUGUCGGUCAAAUGAAUUCAUUCUCAAAUAGUGUUGAAAUAAGACUUUCUCAUGUGAACCUUGCCUUUUAAAAUAAUCCAACACCUAUAAAAAUGUCCCAUUCUAAAGAGACUUUAGUUGUUUUGCAAUCCCUGGACUGGGUUAAGUUGUUGAUCGAUCAGAUCUAGAGCAUUAACUAAUUAACUGAUAAUUCAGGGAUCUGACUAUCUGAUUUCUUGAUUUAUGAGCAAGGAUCUCACUAUUGGGAGCGACAUCGUCUCUGCUUGGGAAGAGAUGACAACGACAAUUGAUUCAUAGUAUGAAUCGAGCCCUCCAAGGACAUAAACGACCACUUCCGAUGUCUCAGUCUUGACUCUGACAGUUCGUAAAUCGUCAACUAGCCUUUUGAUUUUGGUUAGAUACUCAUCAAUUGGAGAGUCACCUUUCUUGAUUUGUUGCAAUUGCUGUCUGAUUUGCAAUAUCCGGGAUCCAGAAGUGCAUGCAUGCAUUUCUUGGAGUUGUUUCCAAGUUACGUCGGAAGUUUCAACGCCGGCAACCUACGUGAGGAUGUGUGACUGGAACGAUGAGAAGAUCCAUCCCAGUAAAAGCUGAUCUUGCUGAAUCUUCAGUGUAUCAUCAAGGAUGACUGAACCAUCUACAUAAGAUAAGAGGCCAUAUCCCUUCAAGAGCGUGCUGAACUACUUCCGCCAAGUGAAGAAAUUCGUUAUGGCGAGUUUCUAUGCUUGCAGGUACUUGAUUUUCACAAGUUUGGAAGAGCUACCGACGUUCAUCAUGGCGAUUUGCAGAAUAAGUACCCAAUCGUUACCUAACAAUCUGAUACCAUAUUACAAUCAAUGAGCUUGACUGAAUUCAUUGUAUUUCACACUCCUCAAUUAAUACAUGUUUCUAUAUAUCUAUUUAUAAUAGUAUUCAAUUAAAUAACUAAUUAAUUGAUAAUCCAG